AGAGUUUGAUCAUGGCUCAGGACGAACGCUGGCGGCGUGCUUAACACAUGCAAGUCGAGCGAGGCCCUCCUUCGGGGGGUGCCCUAGCGGCGAACGGGUGAGUAACACGUGGGCAACCUGCCCUCAGCUCUGGGAUAACUCCAAGAAAUUGGUGCUAAUACCGGAUGUGACCGCUGACCGCAUGGUCUGGUGGUGGAAAGAUUCAUCGGCUGAGGAUGGGCCCGCGGCCUAUCAGCUUGUUGGUGGGGUCACGGCCCACCAAGGCGACGACGGGUAGCCGGCCUGAGAGGGUGACCGGCCACACUGGGACUGAGACACGGCCCAGACUCCUACGGGAGGCAGCAGUGGGGAAUAUUGCGCAAUGGGCGAAAGCCUGACGCAGCGACGCCGCGUGAGGGAUGACGGCCUUCGGGUUGUAAACCUCUUUCAGUAGGGACGAAGCGAAAGUGACGGUACCUACAGAAGAAGCACCGGCCAACUACGUGCCAGCAGCCGCGGUAAUACGUAGGGUGCAAGCGUUGUCCGGAAUUAUUGGGCGUAAAGAGCUCGUAGGCGGUCUGUCACGUCGGCUGUGAAAACCCGAGGCUCAACCUCGGGCCUGCAGUCGAUACGGGCAAACUAGAGUACUGCAGGGGAGACUGGAAUUCCUGGUGUAGCGGUGAAAUGCGCAGAUAUCAGGAGGAACACCGGUGGCGAAGGCGGGUCUCUGGGCAGUAACUGACGCUGAGGAGCGAAAGCGUGGGGAGCGAACAGGAUUAGAUACCCUAGUAGUCC
RNAcentral lists this ribosomal RNA (774 nucleotides) under uncultured bacterium. RNAcentral's name for it is "bacterial SSU rRNA". It matches the Rfam family "Bacterial small subunit ribosomal RNA", at positions 8 to 796 of the family's 1533-position model. The record is from RNAcentral.